UGGGGAAUAUUGCACAAUGGAGGGAACUCUGAUGCAGCGACGCCGCGUGAACGAAGAAGGCUUUCGAGUCGUAAAGUUCUUUUAUAUGGGAAGAUAAUGACGGUACCAUAAGAAAAAGCCCCGGCUAACUACGUGCCAGCAGCCGCGGUAAUACGUAGGGGGCUAGCGUUGUCCGGAAUCACUGGGGGUAAAGGGUUCGCAGGCUGAAAUGCAAGACAGGUGUAAAAGGCAGUAGCUUAACUACUGUAAGCAUUUGAAACUGCAUAUCUUGAGAAGAGUAGAGGUAAGUGGAAUUUUUAGUGUAGCGGUGAAAUGCGUAGAUAUUAAAAAGAAUACCGGUGGCGAAGGCGACUUACUGGGCUCAUUCUGACGCUGAGGAACGAAAGCGUGGGUAGCAAACAGG
RNAcentral lists this ribosomal RNA (403 nucleotides) under bacterium. RNAcentral describes it as "partial 16S ribosomal RNA". It matches the Rfam family "Bacterial small subunit ribosomal RNA", at positions 355 to 776 of the family's 1533-position model. The record is from RNAcentral.